RNAcentral lists this ribosomal RNA (570 nucleotides) under Leptodactylus fragilis. Its description in RNAcentral is "partial small subunit ribosomal RNA". It matches the Rfam family "Bacterial large subunit ribosomal RNA", at positions 1811 to 2591 of the family's 2925-position model. The record is from RNAcentral. Lineage: Eukaryota; Metazoa; Chordata; Amphibia; Anura; Leptodactylidae.
AAACAUCGCCUCUUGAUAAUCUAUAAGAGGUCCGGCCUGCCCAGUGACUUUGUUCAACGGCCGCGGUAUCCUAACCGUGCGAAGGUAGCGUAAUCACUUGUUCUUUAAAUGAGGACUAGUAUGAAUGGCACCACGAAGGUUAUACUGUCUCCUUUCUCUAAUCAGUGAAACUAAUCUCCCCGUGAAGAAGCGGGGAUAGAAAUAUAAGACGAGAAGACCCUAUGGAGCUUUAAACAAACAUACAACUGCCUUUAAUUUUAUCAACUUCAGACGAAAAACCAUUAUUUAGGCACUUUGAUAUGAAGUUUUAGGUUGGGGUGACCACGGAGUAAAAAACAACCUCCGUAGUGAACAGGACUUCUCCCGUAACCUAAGGGCUACAACCCUAAGAAUCAACAAAUUGACGCCAAUUGACCCAAUAUAUUUGAUCAAUGAACCAAGUUACCCUAGGGAUAACAGCGCAAUCCACUUCAAGAGCCCCUAUCGACAAGUGGGUUUACGACCUCGAUGUUGGAUCAGGGUAUCCUGGUGGUGCAGCCGCUACUAAUGGUUCGUUUGUUCAACGAUUAA